This 809-nucleotide ribosomal RNA is filed under the name Escherichia coli. RNAcentral's name for it is "partial 23S ribosomal RNA". It matches the Rfam family "Bacterial large subunit ribosomal RNA", at positions 2122 to 2925 of the family's 2925-position model. The record is from RNAcentral. Lineage: Bacteria; Pseudomonadati; Pseudomonadota; Gammaproteobacteria; Enterobacterales; Enterobacteriaceae.
CAUUGAGCCUUGAUGUGUAGGAUAGGUGGGAGGCUUUGAAGUGUGGACGCCAGUCUGCAUGGAGCCGGCCUUGAAAUACCACCCUUUAAUGUUUGAUGUUCUAACGUUGGCCCCUGAUCGGGGUUGCGGACAGUGUCUGGUGGGUAGUUUGACUGGGGCGGUCUCCUCCUAAAGAGUAACGGAGGAGCACGAAGGUUGGCUAAUCCUGGUCGGACAUCAGGAGGUUAGUGCAAUGGCAUAAGCCAGCUUGACUGCGAGCGUGACGGCGCGAGCAGGUGCGAAAGCAGGUCAUAGUGAUCCGGUGGUUCUGAAUGGAAGGGCCAUCGCUCAACGGAUAAAAGGUACUCCGGGGAUAACAGGCUGAUACCGCCCAAGAGUUCAUAUCGACGGCGGUGUUUGGCACCUCGAUGUCGGCUCAUCACAUCCUGGGGCUGAAGUAGGUCCCAAGGGUAUGGCUGUUCGCCAUUUAAAGUGGUACGCGAGCUGGGUUUAGAACGUCGUGAGACAGUUCGGUCCCUAUCUGCCGUGGGCGCUGGAGAACUGAGGGGGGCUGCUCCUAGUACGAGAGGACCGGAGUGGACGCAUCACUGGUGUUCGGGUUGUCAUGCCAAUGGCACUGCCCGGUAGCUAAAUGCGGAAGAGAUAAGUGCUGAAAGCAUCUAAGCACGAAACUUGCCCCGAGAUGAGUUCUCCCUGACUCUUUAAGGGUCCUGAAGGAACGUUGAAGACGACGACGUUGAUAGGCCGGGUGUGUAAGCGCAGCGAUGCGUUGAGCUAACCGGUACUAAUGAACCGUGAGGCUUAACCUU